GGUGAGUUCUCGGUACCUCGGCGACAAGAAAGUGGGCCCAGGAACAAGGUCUCACAGUCCGA
Molecule: microRNA precursor, 62 nt
Filed under: Mus pahari (shrew mouse)
Lineage: Eukaryota; Metazoa; Chordata; Mammalia; Rodentia; Muridae
Description: microRNA 7220 (MGP_PahariEiJ_G0006930.1)
Source: RNAcentral